CCCUUAGAUGUUCUGGGCCGCACGCGCGCUACACUGACGGAGGCAGCGAGCGUGUCCUUCGCCGGCAGGUGCGGGCAAUCUUGCGAGUCUCCGUCGUGCUGGGGAUAGAUGGUUGCAAUUGUCGAUCUUGAACGAGGAAUUCCUAGUAAGCGCGAGUCAUCAGCUCGCGCUGAUUACGUCCCUGCCCUUUGUACACACCGCCCGUCGCUACUACAGAGUGCCCGUGUCCAAGAAACGGUCGGAUCUGUGCGGCCUCUCCGGGCGACCGGAGGGCCGUUACGGGGAAGACCCUUUAUUUGACGCGGGUCGAUGAAGUAAAAGUCGUAACA
Molecule: ribosomal RNA, 329 nt
Filed under: uncultured eukaryote
Lineage: Eukaryota
Description: partial 18S ribosomal RNA
Rfam family: Eukaryotic small subunit ribosomal RNA
Source: RNAcentral